CAGUGUUUCGGUGCGGUGCGUCCCGCUUUCCCGCGAGGGAGGCGGUCGGCGCACCCCCCAAAACCCCACCCUUGAAUACUGAACCAUCUGUUGCUUCGGCGGGCCCGCCCCUGGGCCGCCGGGGAUCAUCCCCUGGCCAGCGCCCGCCGAGGAAUCAUUUGAACCCGAUGUGAAUCUGUGGCUGUCUGAGUGGGCUUGCGAAUCGUU
RNAcentral lists this unclassified non-coding RNA (207 nucleotides) under uncultured Auxarthron. RNAcentral's name for it is "sequence contains ITS1". Lineage: Eukaryota; Fungi; Ascomycota; Eurotiomycetes; Onygenales. The record is from RNAcentral.